Passer domesticus (house sparrow) is the source of this 438-nucleotide long non-coding RNA. RefSeq lists it as uncharacterized. The record is from RefSeq and is a predicted model, not a curated record. Lineage: Eukaryota; Metazoa; Chordata; Aves; Passeriformes; Passeridae. The transcript has 4 exons.
AUAUGCAGCGUGUCUCGAAGCCUUCUGGAGCUGCUGGGUGAUGCAGAUGGACAGGUGGUCAGCACGUCCCUCUCUCUGUUGAAGAAGAUGCUCCAUAAAAAACAUCUCAUGAUAUCCAGCACUUCUGCCCCAAAGCUAGCUGAGGCACUCCUGCCACUCUUUGACCGUGACAACAGCCAUCUGCAGCUGCUCUCCAUUUCCCUCUUCUGCAAGGUGAUGGAAUUGGUAGUGGAAGAGGGUAAAAAGCCCCUGAAGAGAAUUGUGAGCUGGAGUCUGCUCCCACUCUUCUUGCACUGUCAUGAUGAGAACUGGGACGUGGCAGAGGGAGGUUUCCUCGGCGCCAUUUUAGAGAGCAGUGGAGGAAGCACUUGACGGAGGAUUGUCCAUUACAAGAGGGUUCUGAAGACAGAGCGGCCAUUGAAAAUUGAUGAGUGCCUG